This 889-nucleotide small RNA is filed under the name Arabidopsis thaliana (thale cress). RNAcentral describes it as "ATSL132530". The record is from RNAcentral. Lineage: Eukaryota; Viridiplantae; Streptophyta; Magnoliopsida; Brassicales; Brassicaceae.
UAUUUUUAGCUGAACAAAUCGUUAUUCACUUUAAAAUACGAGUAGCAAAGAAUAGCAAAAUAAAAGUGAAAAAAUUACACAAUAUUUCUAAUGUUCAAAUAUCACACCGUAAAAUUGCUCUAUAUAAAAUUAACGAUCAUCAUCAGUCUAGGUCGGUGUUCCAUAGAUUGGAGAUAUGGGUGUUGAUUCCUUAGUUCUCAUGAUGAGUUUGAACUUCGAGUUUGUUUCUAGCAGCUGUACAAAUUUGGUACUCAUCAGUUUUAGCCAUAAUGAUAGUACAAUCAAUAUAUAUAUCUAACAUGCUUAUUUAUGUAUUUUCUGUCUCUCUCACCAUAUAUUCUAGUUACAGGAGUAUAUCAAGUCAUGGUACAGGUCUAGAUUCUCUUAACUUGAUUACUAAACAUUAGUUACGGGAAUCACAAUAUUGAUUACUAAUUAAUUAAGGUCAUAUGGAUUGUUUUAAUUUGAUUUAUUAGUUUUUAUGUUCUAUAUUUCAGGAAUUUUACAAUGAAUGAUGACGAUGAACCACGAAGACCGAUAGGUGGAAGACACCAAAAACCCAAGCUACCAAAUCUGGCCAAUGAAUCAAAACGGGCUAAGAAUCGGGCUGCUAGUCAAGGUCAACAACCAGUUCAACAAGAACUAGUCGAACAAGGACCAAUGAGUUUAGUACUGGUAUUUAUACGAAAUUCACCAAUCAACUAUUUACAAAACAAUAAGUCUAGCACUCGGUUUUAGAUUUUUGUUUUCAUUUGAUAAUUCAACCCAGCUGGAAUUUCAUAAUAUUUUCAGACAAUACUACCAACACAAAACCAAAAUUGACCAAAGUCCAACCAAGAUGAAUUAUCAGAAUCGAUUGAUAUCCCCUAUAUAAAUUGAUAAUCAUUCU